This 659-nucleotide ribosomal RNA is filed under the name uncultured bacterium. RNAcentral's name for it is "bacterial SSU rRNA". It matches the Rfam family "Bacterial small subunit ribosomal RNA", at positions 60 to 710 of the family's 1533-position model. The record is from RNAcentral.
AGUCGAACGGUAGCACAGAGAGCUUGCUCUCGGGUGACGAGGGGCGGACGGGUGAGUAAUGUCUGGGAAACUGCCUGAUGGAGGGGGAUAACUACUGGAAACGGUAGCUAAUACCGCAUAACGUCGCAGGACCAAAGUGGGGGACCUUCGGGCCUCAUGCCAUCAGAUGUGCCCAGAUGGGAUUAGCUUGUAGGUGAGGUAACGGCUCACCUAGGCGACGAUCCCUAGCUGGUCUGAGAGGAUGACCAGCCACACUGGAACUGAGACACGGUCCAGACUCCUACGGGAGGCAGCAGUGGGGAAUAUUGCACAAUGGGCGCAAGCCUGAUGCAGCCAUGCCGCGUGUAUGAAGAAGGCCUUCGGGUUGUAAAGUACUUUCAGCGAGGAGGAAGGCGAUAAGGUUAAUAACCUUGUCGAUUGACGUUACUCGCAGAAGAAGCACCGGCUAACUCCGUGCCAGCAGCCGCGGUAAUACGGAGGGUGCAAGCGUUAAUCGGAAUUACUGGGCGUAAAGCGCACGCAGGCGGUCUGUCAAGUCGGAUGUGAAAUCCCCGGGCUCAACCUGGGAACUGCAUCCGAAACUGGCAGGCUAGAGUCUUGUAGAGGGGGGUAGAAUUCCAGGUGUAGCGGUGAAAUGCGUAGAGAUCUGGAGGAAUACC